This 496-nucleotide ribosomal RNA is filed under the name uncultured bacterium. RNAcentral describes it as "partial 16S ribosomal RNA". It matches the Rfam family "Bacterial small subunit ribosomal RNA", at positions 28 to 506 of the family's 1533-position model. The record is from RNAcentral.
GACGAACGCUGGCGGCGUGCCUAAUACAUGCAAGUUGAGCGCUGAAGGUUGGUACUUGUACCAACUGGAUGAGCAGCGAACGGGUGAGUAACGCGUGGGGAAUCUGCCUUUGAGCGGGGGACAACAUUUGGAAACGAAUGCUAAUACCGCAUAAAAACUUUAAACACAAGUUUUAAGUUUGAAAGAUGCAAUUGCAUCACUCAAAGAUGAUCCCGCGUUGUAUUAGCUAGUUGGUGAGGUAAAGGCUCACCAAGGCGAUGAUACAUAGCCGACCUGAGAGGGUGAUCGGCCACAUUGGGACUGAGACACGGCCCAAACUCCUACGGGAGGCAGCAGUAGGGAAUCUUCGGCAAUGGACGAAAGUCUGACCGAGUAACGCCGCGUGAGUGAAGAAGGUUUUCGGAUCGUAAAACUCUGUUGGUAGAGAAGAACGUUGGUGAGAGUGGAAAGCUCAUCAAGUGACGGUAACUACCCAGAAAGGGACGGCUAACUACGU